Molecule: non-coding RNA, 1022 nt
Organism: Xyrichtys novacula (pearly razorfish)
Lineage: Eukaryota; Metazoa; Chordata; Actinopteri; Labriformes; Labridae
Source: the annotation of a GenBank genome assembly
CUUUCGUUCCACUGGCACCAAAUUUGCUCAGGCCAAUCUACACCCCAUGGCCAUCAAAAGUUGUACAAAUCAUGACGCUGCACCCCACGGUUUACGUUCUAGGGGGCGCCAAAGAUAACCCAAAAAUCCACAUUCUUAAAAGUCUUAUAACUUUUUAUUUUUGUCCUCACUGGCCUCCAAGUUUUCUAGGAUGAUGCAAUGUCCAGCCAUCAACACAUUUGUGAAGGAAUUUUUACUCCCCAAAAGAGCGCCCCCCCAUGGCAGGUGAAAAAAGUCCAUUUUUUCUUGUCCCCUAACAUGAAAAUACACAUUGUAGAGUGUCACGCCUGAACGCUUUGUCAUAUUGACACAAAAUUUGACAAUCACGUGUAUCUCAAUAAGAUCUACGAAAAAGUCAAAGAGCGCGUAUCUGUAUAAUGUACGGUUAAAGGGCUAUUUCGCAUUUUUUGCCGAUCCGCACACAUUGGAAUUUCGCUAACUCCUCCAAAGGCUUUCGUUCCACCGGCACCAAAUUUGCUCAGGUCAAUCUACACCCCAUGGCCAUUAAAAGUUGUACAAAUCAUGCCGCUGCACCCCACGGUUUAGGUUCUAGGGGGCGCCAAAGAUAACCCAAAAAUCCACAUUCUUAAAAGUCUUAUAACUUUUAAUUUUUGUCCUCACUGGCCUCCAAGUUUUCUAGGAUGAUGCAAUGUCCAGCCAUCAACACAUUUGUGAAGGAAUUUUUACUCCCCAAAAGAGCGCCCCCCCAUGGCAGGAGAAAAAAGUGCAUUUUUUCUUGUCCCCUAAGGUGAAAACACACAUUGUAGAGUGUCAUGCCUGAACGCUUUGUCAUAUUGACACAAAAUUUGACAAUCACGUGUAUCUCAAUAAGAUCUACGAAAAAGUCAAAGAGCGCGUAUGUGUAUAAUGUACGGUAAAAGGGCUAUUUUGCAUUUUUUGCCGAUUUGCACACAUUGGAAUGUGGCUAACUCCUCCUAAGGCUUUCGUCCCAAUGACACCAAAUUUGCUCAGGCCAAUCUACA